GUAACGGCGAGUGAAGCGGCAACAGCUCAAAUUUGAAAUCUGGCGUCUUUGGCGUCCGAGUUGUAAUUUGCAGAGGGCGCUUUGGCAUUGGCAGCGGUCCAAGUUCCUUGGAACAGGACGUCACAGAGGGUGAGAAUCCCGUACGUGGUCGCUAGCCUUUACCGUGUAAAGCCCCUUCGACGAGUCGAGUUGUUUGGGAAUGCAGCUCUAAAUGGGAGGUAAAUUUCUUCUAAAGCUAAAUACUGGCCAGAGACCGAUAGCGCACAAGUAGAGUGAUCGAAAGAUGAAAAGCACUUUGGAAAGAGAGUUAAAAAGCACGUGAAAUUGUUGAAAGGGAAGCGCUUGCAGCCAGACUUGCCUGUAGUUGCUCAUCCGGGUUUCUACCCGGUGCACUCUUCUAUAGGCAGGCCAGCAUCAGUUUGGGCGGUUGGAUAAAGGUCUCUGUCAUGUACCUCCUUUCGGGGAGAACUUAUAGGGGAGACGACAUGCAACCAGCCUGGACUGAGGUCCGCGCAUCUGCUAGGAUGCUGGCGUAAUGGCUGUAAGCGGCCCGUCUUGAAACACGGACCAAGGAGUCUAACAUCUAUGCGAGUGUUUGGGUGUCAAGCCCGAGCGCGUAAUGAAAGUGAACGGAGGUGGGAACCUUUCGGGGUGCACCAUCGACCGAUCCUGAUGUCUUCGGAUGGAUUUGAGUAAGAGCAUAGCUGUUGGGACCCGAAAGAUGGUGAACUAUGCUUGAAUAGGGUGAAGCCAGAGGAAACUCUGGUGGAGGCUCGCAGCGGUUCUGA
RNAcentral lists this ribosomal RNA (788 nucleotides) under Pseudohendersonia galiorum. RNAcentral's name for it is "eukaryotic LSU rRNA". It matches the Rfam family "Eukaryotic large subunit ribosomal RNA", at positions 83 to 889 of the family's 3401-position model. Lineage: Eukaryota; Fungi; Ascomycota; Dothideomycetes. The record is from RNAcentral.